RNAcentral lists this transfer RNA (89 nucleotides) under Actinomycetes bacterium. RNAcentral's name for it is "Actinobacteria bacterium tRNA-Ser". It matches the Rfam family "tRNA". Rfam says of the family: Transfer RNA (tRNA) molecules are approximately 80 nucleotides in length. Their secondary structure includes four short double-helical elements and three loops (D, anti-codon, and T loops). Lineage: Bacteria; Bacillati; Actinomycetota; Actinomycetes. The record is from RNAcentral.
GGCGGGGUGCCGGAGCGGUCGAACGGGGCAGUCUUGAAAACUGCUGUGCCCUUCGCGGGGCACCGUGGGUUCAAAUCCCACCCCCGCCG